CCUCGGGAAGGCAGCAGUGGGGAAUAUUGCGCAAUGGGCGAAAGCCUGACGGAGCAAUACCGCGUGAGGGAAGACUGCCCAUGGGUUGUAAACCUCUUUUUUCAGGGAGGAAUAAAAUGACGUGUACCUGGAGAAUAAGCAUCGGCUAACUCCGUGCCAGCAGCCGCGGUAAGACGGAGGAUGCAAGUGUUAUCCGGAAUCACUGGGCGUAAAGCGUCUGUAGGUGGUUUAAUAAGUCAACUGUUAAAUCUUGAGGCUCAACUUCAAAAUCGCAGUCGAAACUAUUAGACUAGAGUAUAGUAGAGGUAAAGGGAAUUUCCAGUGGAGCGGUGAAAUGCGUAGAUAUUGGAAAGAACACCGAUGGCGAAAGCACUUUACUGGGCUAUUACUGACACUCAGAGACGAAAGCUAGGGUAGCAAAUGGGAUUAGAUACCCCAGUAGUCCUAGCCGUAAACUAUGGAUACUAGAUGUUGAACAGAUCGACCUGUGCAGUAUCAAAGCUAACGCGUUAAGUAUCCCGCCUGGGAAGUAUGCUCGCAAGAGUGAAACUCAAAUGAAUUGACGG
Molecule: ribosomal RNA, 566 nt
Filed under: uncultured bacterium
Lineage: Bacteria
Description: bacterial SSU rRNA
Rfam family: Bacterial small subunit ribosomal RNA
Source: RNAcentral